Molecule: transfer RNA, 84 nt
Filed under: Candidatus Schekmanbacteria bacterium
Lineage: Bacteria; Candidatus Schekmaniibacteriota
Description: tRNA-Leu
Rfam family: tRNA
About the family: Transfer RNA (tRNA) molecules are approximately 80 nucleotides in length. Their secondary structure includes four short double-helical elements and three loops (D, anti-codon, and T loops).
Source: RNAcentral
GCCGAAGUGGUGAAACUGGCAAACACGCUAGGUUCAGGGUCUAGUGGGAGCAAUCCCUUGCGGGUUCGAGUCCCGCCUUCGGCA